UACGUAGGGGGCAAGCGUUAUCCGGAUUUACUGGGUGUAAAGGGAGCGUAGACGGUUAUGCAAGUCAGAAGUGAAAGCCCAAUGCUCAACUUCGGGACUGCUUUUGAAACUGUGUAACUAGAGUGCAGGAGGGGUAAGCGGAAUUCCUAGUGUAGCGGUGAAAUGCGUAGAUAUUAGGAGGAACACCGGCGGCGAAGGCGGCUUACUGGACUGUAACUGACGUUGAGGCUCGAAAGCGUGGGGAGCAAACAGG
RNAcentral lists this ribosomal RNA (253 nucleotides) under uncultured bacterium. Its description in RNAcentral is "partial 16S ribosomal RNA". It matches the Rfam family "Bacterial small subunit ribosomal RNA", at positions 524 to 776 of the family's 1533-position model. The record is from RNAcentral.